Molecule: long non-coding RNA, 393 nt
Organism: Salvelinus fontinalis (brook trout)
Lineage: Eukaryota; Metazoa; Chordata; Actinopteri; Salmoniformes; Salmonidae
Exons: 3
Source: RefSeq, a predicted model, not a curated record
UGUAUGCUCAUUAAAGGAGUAUAACACAUACAAACAUUACCUGGAUACGGUCAAGACUGACCAUCAUAAAACGUACAGCAAAAAGUUGAAGGAACAGAUACUGAGAAUGGUUCAGUUGCAAGAGGAAGGCCAUAUACCUAAGGACGUUACCCUGGAAGAUAUGAUAGAGUACUUACUGAAUAAAGGAGCACAGAACCUGAAGCAUCUGCAGUCAACCAUUGGUUCCAGGGACAGGGGACAGAAAUAUGGCCUGCAAACUGCGUUGUAUGACCAAGAGAGAGAGUUUAAAGAGGAUUGGGUUUCUAAGGAGCGAUCCAGGCUGAAACUCAUUGAAAAGGAUGUGAGGCACGAUUUGAACAAGGCCAAGUAUAUGAAAGAGGCCAAAGAAAAGCG